GGCUUCAUGGUCUAGUGGUAUGAUUCCUGCUUUGGGUUACACUCAAGUCUGCAGGAGGCCCCGCGUUCGAAUCGCGGUGGAGCCC
RNAcentral lists this transfer RNA (85 nucleotides) under Kalmusia sp. IMI 367209. Its description in RNAcentral is "tRNA-Pro". Lineage: Eukaryota; Fungi; Ascomycota; Dothideomycetes; Pleosporales; Didymosphaeriaceae. The record is from RNAcentral.